This 465-nucleotide ribosomal RNA is filed under the name uncultured bacterium. RNAcentral's name for it is "partial 16S ribosomal RNA". It matches the Rfam family "Bacterial small subunit ribosomal RNA", at positions 28 to 507 of the family's 1533-position model. The record is from RNAcentral.
GACGAACGCUGGCGGCGUGCUUAACACAUGCAAGUCGAACGGAAAGGCCCUGCUUGCAGGGUACUCGAGUGGCGAACGGGUGAGUAACACGUGGGUGAUCUGCCCUGCACUUCGGGAUAAGCCUGGGAAACUGGGUCUAAUACCGGAUAGGAGCCAUUUUUAGUGUGAUGGUUGGAAAGUUUUUUCGGUGUAGGAUGAGCUCGCGGCCUAUCAGCUUGUUGGUGGGGUAAUGGCCUACCAAGGCGGCGACGGGUAGCCGGCCUGAGAGGGUGUACGGCCACAUUGGGACUGAGAUACGGCCCAGACUCCUACGGGAGGCAGCAGUGGGGAAUAUUGCACAAUGGGCGCAAGCCUGAUGCAGCGACGCCGCGUGGGGGAGGACGGCCUUCGGGUUGUAAACUCCUUUCGCUAGGGACGAAGCUUUUUGUGACGGUACCUAGAUAAGAAGCACCGGCUAACUACGUG